This 537-nucleotide ribosomal RNA is filed under the name Serratia marcescens. Its description in RNAcentral is "bacterial SSU rRNA". It matches the Rfam family "Bacterial small subunit ribosomal RNA", at positions 1 to 530 of the family's 1533-position model. Lineage: Bacteria; Pseudomonadati; Pseudomonadota; Gammaproteobacteria; Enterobacterales; Yersiniaceae. The record is from RNAcentral.
UUUUGAGUUUGAUCGUGGCUCAGAUUGAAGGCUGGCGGCAGGCUUAACACAUGCAAGCCGAGCGGUAGCACAGGGGGAGCUUGCUCCCUGGGUGACGAGCGGCGGACGGGUGAGUAAUGUCUGGGAAACUGCCUGAUGGAGGGGGAUAACUACUGGAAACGGUAGCUAAUACCGCAUAACGUCGCAAGACCAAAGAGGGGGACCUUCGGGCCUCUUGCCAUCAGAUGUGCCCAGAUGGGAUUAGCUAGUAGGUGGGGUAAUGGCUCACCUAGGCGACGAUCCCUAGCUGGUCUGAGAGGAUGACCAGCCACACUGGAACUGAGACACGGUCCAGACUCCUACGGGAGGCAGCAGUGGGGAAUAUUGCACAAUGGGCGCAAGCCUGAUGCAGCCAUGCCGCGUGUGUGAAGAAGGCCUUCGGGUUGUAAAGCACUUUCAGCGAGGAGGAAGGUGGUGAACUUAAUACGUUCAUCAAUUGACGUUACUCGCAGAAGAAGCACCGGCUAACUCCGUGCCAGCCGCCGCCGUAACACAAAA